Molecule: ribosomal RNA, 490 nt
Filed under: uncultured bacterium
Lineage: Bacteria
Description: partial 16S ribosomal RNA
Rfam family: Bacterial small subunit ribosomal RNA
Source: RNAcentral
AUUGAACGCUGGCGGCAGGCCUAACACAUGCAAGUCGAACGGUAACAGGAAGCAGCUUGCUGCUUUUCUGACGAGUGGCGGACGGGUGAGUAAUGUCUGGGAAACUGCUCGAUGGAGGGGGAUAACUACUGGAAACGGUUGAUAACACCGCAUAACGUCGCAAGCCCAAAGAGGGGGAGCUAAGGGCGUCUGGCCGUCGUGUGUGCCCCGAUGGGAUGCGUUAGUAGGUGGGGUAACCGCUCACCUAGGCGACGAUCUCUAGCUGAUCGGAGAGAAGGAGCGGCGACCUUGGAACGGAGACACGGUCAAGACGCCUACGGGAGGCAGCAGUGGGGAAUGGUGCGCAGUGGGCGCAAGCCUGAUGCAGCGAGGCCGCGUGUAUGGAGGAGGCCUUCGGGUUGUAAAGUACUUUCAGCGGGGAGGAAGGGAGUAAAGUUAAUACCUUUGCUCAUUGACGUUACCCGCAGAAGAAGCACCGGCUAACUCCGUG